CUAAGUUUGAUGGCGACCGGCGCACGGGUGGGUAACACGUAUCCAACCUGCCGAUGACUCGGGGAUAGCCUUUCGAAAGAAAGAUUAAUACCCGAUGGCAUAGUUCUUCCGCAUGGUAGAACUAUUAAAGAAUUUCGGUCAUCGAUGGGGAUGCGUUCCAUUAGGUUGUUGGCGGGGUAACGGCCCACCAAGCCUUCGAUGGAUAGGGGUUCUGAGAGGAAGGUCCCCCACAUUGGAACUGAGACACGGUCCAAACUCCUACGGGAGGCAGCAUG
RNAcentral lists this ribosomal RNA (275 nucleotides) under uncultured bacterium. Its description in RNAcentral is "partial 16S ribosomal RNA". It matches the Rfam family "Bacterial small subunit ribosomal RNA", at positions 79 to 353 of the family's 1533-position model. The record is from RNAcentral.